Long non-coding RNA from Cynoglossus semilaevis (tongue sole), 568 nucleotides. RefSeq lists it as uncharacterized. The record is from RefSeq and is a predicted model, not a curated record. NCBI's taxonomy places the organism in Eukaryota, Metazoa, Chordata, Actinopteri, Pleuronectiformes, Cynoglossidae. The transcript is spliced from 3 exons.
GUCUCCGUCUCUGUCUCUGUCUCAGCUCCAGCUGCGGUUCGAUCCCCUCACUGCCUGGGUCCAGGUAAUCCGUGACUAAGUCAGAACCACACUCCACCGUGCAUGCUCCACAGAUGUUUGUGCCGUUCUCCGAGAUCUGCUCCUGCUCCUGCUCCUGCUGGGCGACGAUGAUGAUGGUGAUGAUGAUGGUGAUGAUGACGACUGAGCGCUCACAGCCAACCAGAGUCAAGCUGCCUCGCUGAUGAAGAGCUCCAUUGAUUAGAAUCGAGGUCUUGGAACACUGGAUCUUCUUCCCACGAGAGAACUCACACUGGCUGUAAAUAUAUCUGCUGUAAAAAGUUUGGUCUGCGGCAUCAGUCAGAGAGGUUUUGAAGGCCAUGACAUCCCAUCAUAAGGUCACUGCCAAAGCUUCAACAAACACACACCAAUGCUGGAUUGUGUGCUGCAGUUAUUCCACUCCACUUCACAUCAGCAUCAGUCAAUCAAAGCAGCCACUGGAGACUGCGCUCACCUCCUCAGAAAGUUCACAGCUUGUCUGAGUGCGUGGUUGCCUCUUGUUUGGACCUUC